RNAcentral lists this long non-coding RNA (530 nucleotides) under Homo sapiens (human). RNAcentral describes it as "non-protein coding PCBP1-AS1:241". The record is from RNAcentral. Lineage: Eukaryota; Metazoa; Chordata; Mammalia; Primates; Hominidae.
GCCUGCGGAGCGGAGGAAGACAAACAUAAAGAUGAAGUGCUUAAUUCAAGGUCACACAAUGUCGGGGAUGGACCUCCAGAUUUCCUUACUGACCUGCAUUAUCUUGUGGAUACCUGAGUGAAUUCCACACCACCCAUUUUAUAGAUGAAACCACUGAGACAUGGAGCAAUUGACUGAGUAGUCACUGCCCCACCCCUGCCUGGAGCCUCACACAUGACUCGCCUCCUCUCAGUGACCACAGAUGGAGUCUUGCUGUGUCACCAGGAUGGAGUGCAGUGGCGCAAUCUCGGCUCACUGCAACCUCUGCUUCCCGGGUUCAAGUGAUUCUCCUGCCUCAGCAACCCGAGUAGCUGGCACUACAGGAAAACAAGCUCAGGGCUCCCACUGAUUGUACAUUAUGGUGAGACGUGGUCUUGUAACACAGUGGUUAAGAAUGUGACUUUGGAGCCAGCCUGCUAGGGGCUGAAUUCUGACUCAGCCAUUUACUAACUGUGUGACCUUAGGGAGGAGGACCUGGUUGAUAGAAGAAU